AGAGUGAAGUUGCAGCCAAGGAUGACUUGCCGGACCAUAAAUUGCAAGGAUUUUCUAAUUCCGGCAAGUUGUUCUUGGCUAUAGUUUGCUCUCU
Non-coding RNA from Solanum tuberosum (potato), 94 nucleotides. Lineage: Eukaryota; Viridiplantae; Streptophyta; Magnoliopsida; Solanales; Solanaceae. The record is from Rfam.